This 377-nucleotide ribosomal RNA is filed under the name uncultured bacterium. RNAcentral's name for it is "bacterial SSU rRNA". It matches the Rfam family "Bacterial small subunit ribosomal RNA", at positions 523 to 898 of the family's 1533-position model. The record is from RNAcentral.
ACACGUAGGUGGCAAGCGUUGUCCGGAAUUACUGGGCGUAAAGGGCGUGUAGGCGGCCAUUCAAGUCAGCUGUGAAAUUCCAAGGCUUAACCUUGGGCUUGCAGUUGAAACUGAGUGGCUCGAGUGUCGGAGAGGAAAGCGGAAUUCCUAGUGUAGCGGUGAAAUGCGUAGAUAUUAGGAGGAACACCAGUGGCGAAGGCGGCUUUCUGGACGAUAACUGACGCUGAGGCGCGAAAGCGUGGGGAGCAAACAGGAUUAGAUACCCUGGUAGUCCACGCCAUAAACGAUGGAUACUAGGUGUGGGAGGUAUCGAACCCUUCCGUGCCGCAGUAAACGCAAUAAGUAUCCCGCCUGGGGAGUACGGCCGCAAGGCUGAA